This is a small nucleolar RNA of Gracilinanus agilis (Agile Gracile Mouse Opossum), 132 nucleotides long. RefSeq annotates it as small nucleolar RNA SNORA63. The transcript has a single exon. NCBI's taxonomy places the organism in Eukaryota, Metazoa, Chordata, Mammalia, Didelphimorphia, Didelphidae. The record is from RefSeq and is a predicted model, not a curated record.
UUGCAGGUUCAAGUUACAAUAUGGCUGUGACAGUGCCCAUAUUGUCGUUCCCCCUGCUCAAAGCAAAAUGUUUCAUACUAUCCCUGUCUUAACUGAUAACAUAGUAAGACAGGGACGCUUGGUCUCAAACAA